This 481-nucleotide ribosomal RNA is filed under the name uncultured Saprospiraceae bacterium. Its description in RNAcentral is "bacterial SSU rRNA". It matches the Rfam family "Bacterial small subunit ribosomal RNA", at positions 28 to 505 of the family's 1533-position model. Lineage: Bacteria; Pseudomonadati; Bacteroidota; Saprospiria; Saprospirales; Saprospiraceae. The record is from RNAcentral.
GAUGAACGCUAGCGGGAGGCUUAAUACAUGCAAGUCGAGGGGUAACAUAGAACUUCGGUUCUGAUGACGACCGGCGAACGGGUGAGUAACGCGUACACGACCUACCUUUAAGAGGGGGAUAGCCUCGGGAAACUGAGAUUAAUACCCCAUAGUAUUACUGUAUCUAAACAAUGGUAAUUAAAGUUUCGGCGCUUAAAGAUGGGUGUGCGUAUGAUUAGAUAGUUGGUGAGGUAACGGCUCACCAAGUCUACGAUCAUUAGGGGGCGUGAGAGCGUGGCCCCCCACACGGGUACUGAGACACGGACCCGACUCCUACGGGAGGCAGCAGUAAGGAAUAUUGGACAAUGGAGGAAACUCUGAUCCAGCCAUCCCGCGUGAAGGAUGACAGCCCUCUGGGUUGUAAACUUCUUUUAGAAGGGACGAAACGCCUUGAUUUAUCAGGGCCUGACGGUACCUUCAGAAUAAGCACCGGCUAACUCCG